RNAcentral lists this non-coding RNA (709 nucleotides) under Pseudosymplanella nigrifasciata. The record is from RNAcentral. Lineage: Eukaryota; Metazoa; Arthropoda; Insecta; Hemiptera; Caliscelidae.
AAAAAGUUGACUUUAAAUAUUUUUUGCAUGUAAUUUUUUAAAAGGUUAAUGUUUCUUAAUGAAAUAAUUUAAAAUUUUCAGUGAUUAGAUUUAAUUUAAAUAAUUUUUAUUAUUUGAUAAAUUUUUUUUAAAACAGGAAAAUGUUAUGCCAGCAUUCGCGGUUAUAUUUCAUGUUUAAGUCAAUUAUAUUUGGGUUUCAGUUUAUUUAUUUAUAUUUUUUUAAUUUAGGUGAAAUUUAUUAAAAAUUUUUUUAUUUUCUGUUUAAUCUAUAUUUUAGACCAGGAUUAGAUACCCUGUUAUUUUAGUUAAUUUUAAAAAGUCCAGUAAGUAUUAAGUUUAUGAAAUUUAAAAGAUUUGGCGGUUUUUAAAUCUUUUUAGAGGAACCUGUAAUUUAAAUGAUAAUCCACGAUUUAUUUUACCUAAUUUUUUUUGUAUAUCUCUGUCGUUGAAUAUAAUGAAAAUUAAUUUUCUUUUUAAUUUUGAUUAAUUAUGUUAGGUCAAGGUGCAGUUAUAUUUGGGUUAUUAUGGGUUACAUUAAUUUUUUUUUUUGAAUAAUUUAAUUUGAAUUAAGUUUUAAUUUGGAUUUAAAAGUAAAAAUUUUUAUUUGAUUUUUUGAAUAAAGUUCUUAUUUAUGUACAUAUCGCCCGUCAUUCUCAAAAAUUGAGACAAGUCGUAACAAAGUAGAUGUACUGGAAAGUGUAUCUAGAAU